ACGCUCGACACCUACGGGAGGCUGCAGUUGGGAAUAUUGGACAAUGGAGGAAACUCUGAUCCAGUGACGCCGCGUGAAGGAAGAAGGUCUUCGGAUUGUAAACUUAUUUUGUCAGGGAAGAAAAAAUGACUGUACCUGAAGAAAAAGCACCGGCUAACUACGUGCCACAGCCGCGGUAAUCUGAGCGGGCUGGCAAGGC
Molecule: ribosomal RNA, 199 nt
Filed under: uncultured bacterium
Lineage: Bacteria
Description: partial 16S ribosomal RNA
Rfam family: Bacterial small subunit ribosomal RNA
Source: RNAcentral